RNAcentral lists this ribosomal RNA (253 nucleotides) under uncultured bacterium. RNAcentral's name for it is "partial 16S ribosomal RNA". It matches the Rfam family "Bacterial small subunit ribosomal RNA", at positions 524 to 776 of the family's 1533-position model. The record is from RNAcentral.
UACGUAGGUGGCAAGCGUUGUCCGGAUUUAUUGGGUUUAAAGGGUGCGUAGGCGGCUUUGUAAGUCAGUGGUGAAAUAUGGCAGCUCAACUGUCAGGGUGCCAUUGAUACUGCGGAGCUUGAGUACAGAUGAGGUAGGCGGAAUUGACGGUGUAGCGGUGAAAUGCUUAGAUAUCGUCAAGAACACCGAUAGCGAAGGCAGCUUACUGGGCUGUAACUGACGCUGAGGCACGAAAGUGUGGGGAUCAAACAGA